RNAcentral lists this unclassified non-coding RNA (519 nucleotides) under uncultured Glomeromycotina. RNAcentral's name for it is "SSU rRNA". It matches the Rfam family "Eukaryotic small subunit ribosomal RNA", at positions 571 to 1092 of the family's 1831-position model. Lineage: Eukaryota; Fungi; Glomeromycota. The record is from RNAcentral.
CAGCCGGGUAAUUCCAGCUCCAAUAGCGUAUAUUAAAGUUGUUGCAGUUAAAAAGCUCGUAGUUGAAUUUCGGGGUUAGUAGGUUGGUCAUGCCUCUGGUAUGUACUGGUCUCACUGAUUCCUCCUUCCUGAUGAACCUUAAUGCCAUUAAUUUGGUGUUUUGGGGAAUUUGGACUGUUACUUUGAAAAAAUUAGAGUGUUUAAAGCAAGCUAACGCUUGAAUACAUUAGCAUGGAAUAAUGAAAUAGGACGUUCGAUCCUAUUUUGUUGGUUUCUAGGAUUGACGUAAUGAUUAAUAGGGAUAGUUGGGGGCAUUAGUAUUCAAUUGUCAGAGGUGAAAUUCUUGGAUUUAUUGAAGACUAACUACUGCGAAAGCAUUUGCCAAGGAUGUUUUCAUUAAUCAAGAACGAAAGUUAGGGGAUCGAAGACGAUCAGAUACCGUCGUAGUCUUAACCAUAAACUAUGCCGACUAGGGAUCGGAUGAUGUUAAUUUUUUAAUGACUCAUUCGGCGCCUUACG